AUAGUCAUGAUUGUAUUUGUAUUGACAGACUUGACAUUUUGACAACUUGUAAGCUGUUAUAAAGAUAUCACUGUGUGAUAUACCAGUAUGUAUAAUUGAAUUGGUUUGUGCCACGACAGUAACAACCUUGCUCCACAAGUUGGGUGUUUUACGUUACUGAUUAAUAAAUAUCCUGAACCCUAGCAAAGCGACUUUAGUUUUCCUUGAGGCCUAAAAGUCAGCUAUUACAAUAGUAUA
Molecule: long non-coding RNA, 237 nt
Organism: Mytilus trossulus (common blue mussel)
Lineage: Eukaryota; Metazoa; Mollusca; Bivalvia; Mytilida; Mytilidae
Exons: 3
Source: RefSeq, a predicted model, not a curated record